UACGAAGGGGGCUAGCGUUGUUCGGAAUUACUGGGCGUAAAGGGCGUGUAGGCGGUCCGCUAAGUCAGGUGUGAAAGGCCUGGGCUCAACCCAGGAAAUGCGCCUGAGACUGACGGACUUGAGUCCGGGAGAGGAUGGUGGAACUCCCAGUGUAGAGGUGAAAUUCGUAGAUAUUGGGAAGAACACCCGUGGCGAAGGCGGCCAUCUGGACCGGUACUGACGCUAAGGCGCGACAGCGUGGGGAGCAAACAGG
This 253-nucleotide ribosomal RNA is filed under the name uncultured bacterium. Its description in RNAcentral is "partial 16S ribosomal RNA". It matches the Rfam family "Bacterial small subunit ribosomal RNA", at positions 524 to 776 of the family's 1533-position model. The record is from RNAcentral.